RNAcentral lists this unclassified non-coding RNA (429 nucleotides) under soil metagenome. RNAcentral describes it as "partial contains 5.8S ribosomal RNA, internal transcribed spacer 2, and large subunit ribosomal RNA". The stretch from base 1 to 120 matches the Rfam family "5.8S ribosomal RNA", at positions 35 to 154 of the family's 154-position model. The record is from RNAcentral.
GAUGAAGAACGUAGCGAAAUGCGAUAAGUAAUGUGAAUUGCAGAUUUCAGUGAAUCAUCGAAUCUUUGAACGCACCUUGCGCCUUGUGGUAUUCCACAAGGCAUGCCCGUUUGAGUAUCAUUAAAUCAUCAACUCUAAAACCUUUGUGGUUUUUUUUAGAGCUUGGUCUUGAGGGUUUUGCAGGCUUUUUUUUUUUUUUUUCGAGUCUGCUCCCUUUAAAUGCAUUAGCGAGACUUCCCUAUGCUGAACCGUCUCUUUGACGUGAUAAUUAUCUGCGUCGAAUUUUGGUUCUCGUUGGGCUUGCUUCUAAUCGUCUGUUAAAGACAAAACGGAUUUGGGUGCAUAUAUGCGCCUUUUUCCAAAACCUUUUUUUGAUCUCAAAUCGGGUAGGACUACCCGCUGAACUUAAGCAUAUCAAUAAGCGGAGGA